Molecule: ribosomal RNA, 253 nt
Filed under: uncultured bacterium
Lineage: Bacteria
Description: partial 16S ribosomal RNA
Rfam family: Bacterial small subunit ribosomal RNA
Source: RNAcentral
UACGUAGGGGGCGAGCGUUGUCCGGAAUUAUUGGGCGUAAAGGGCUCGUAGGCGGUUUGUCGCGUCGGGAGUGAAAACACCGGGCUUAACUCGGUGCUUGCUUUCGAUACGGGCAGACUAGAGGUAUGCAGGGGAGAACGGAAUUCCUGGUGUAGCGGUGAAAUGCGCAGAUAUCAGGAGGAACACCGGUGGCGAAGGCGGUUCUCUGGGCAUUACCUGACGCUGAGGAGCGAAAGUGUGGGGAGCGAACAGG